AGGAUUAUAUUUAAAUAUAAUAUUUAGUUUGCAAUUAAAAGGUACCAAAAAGGUUAAUCUUU
RNAcentral lists this transfer RNA (62 nucleotides) under Extensus latus. Its description in RNAcentral is "tRNA-Ala". The record is from RNAcentral. Lineage: Eukaryota; Metazoa; Arthropoda; Insecta; Hemiptera; Cicadellidae.